CAAGCACCACAUGCAUGCCUCAAUGACCAGUGAAAUUCACAUAGCCACACCUAACUCCACGCCUCCACCUCAUUAUGUAUCUAUAUAUCUCUAUAUCCUCAUAUUCUCGUUGCUCGUAUAACUUCUCGUGUGUUAAUUAUCCCGUAUUAAUAUAAUGGGGCACUUGCACUCCUCAUGUGCAUAUGGAUUAUUUUGCUUGAUAUCGCACACUCCGAAGACGUGGUGGUGGCGCAGACAGUUUUAUGCGACAGCAUGGAUAUGUCUUUCGAAAUGGAGAAUGCUUGCUUCCCAAACACAAUGCCUAGCAUCGAUUGUUGCAUUUUUGCUGUGCAUGUCAUUGACAUGGCGAUUUUAAACGAUCUAGAGUGUCUCUGCGGUUUGAAGGAUGAACGGUCAUUCUUUGAUAACGGUUUAUCCCUACAGGAUAUGGCUGAUUUCUAUUCCAGUAGUAUUUGCCAGGGUCAGGAUCUUAUAAAUGCCCAGGUUGUCGUCGACGCAUGUGAAGGUAUGGAGCAACGUAGCAAGAUGCCCUCAAUGCCUCCUCAGCGGUUGCUCGAAAGCAGGGUCCGGGUCGAGGCUAGCCCUGCCGACUCGCCAACUCCGCCGGCUUCUACCUGAUUUGCUCCUUGGAAGAAUUGUUAGCUGGGGCUGGUGAUCAUAUGCCUGAUCAGUUCUACUUGAGCAACCGUGGCCCUUUUCAUUAAUGUAGUUUAGUAAAUCGAUUUUUCCAUGCUAUUAUUUGGUUCUUGUAUCCUGGGCUCCGCCCAAUCUAUCUUUAAUCGUGCUAGCUGUGUCCUUGUAGUUUAGUGGAAUCUAUCCUCUUAAAGAAAGUGGUUUUCGAUCACCAUCCUCAUUGUAAUCGUGUUUUGUCAGUUGUCAAAUAACUCUGGUGUUUUUUUUUUCUUUCAGUAGCAGUUAUUUCAGUUCCAGCUC
This is a non-coding RNA of Oryza sativa Japonica Group (Japanese rice), 933 nucleotides long. NCBI's taxonomy places the organism in Eukaryota, Viridiplantae, Streptophyta, Magnoliopsida, Poales, Poaceae. The record is from RefSeq and is a predicted model, not a curated record.